GAGAGAGAGAGACACACUCCAUCGCCUACUUCAAGGCUUGUUGACGCGUAGGCUUGUCGUAACUUAAAGACGAGACUUCAGACUUUGUAGAUUGAUUUUAUUGAACCAAUUCACCUUGACCAAUAGUCAAAUAUCAAAGUGGUCCUUAAUAAUAGCUUCUAAUGAAAAAUCAAGAGAUCCUCUCACGUUUUUUUUUCACGUUCUUGGUUCUGUCUUCUGUCUUAUAGCUGUUCUCGAAUCAAAUAUUAAAGUAACUUUACUUUCCAUCUCUGAUUCUAAGGAACACCGUCCUUGUCCUAUUGAAAAGAAUUCACUGUCGUUAACCAUCUAUAUAAUGGUCUCCAAACAUACAAUUUAUGCAUCUUUUACAAGUUUGAUGAAUUAAAGUCGAUCAUCCUUUCUAAGUUGGGGCAAUUUUGGUUCCUUUUAUUGUUUUCAUGUAAGCUUCAUUGUUCUGUAAUUCUCUGAACUUGGUGUGCUUCAGUUUUAAUACGCAGUCAGAGUUGGAAGCAGUUUUGUGUGUUCAAAAUUUAUGUGUUGUGCCUUUUUAUUUUUUUUAUCUAACUGCAAACUUUUUCAGCUUUAAUUUGCGUGUCUGCAAUAGAAAAUUCACAUCUCGUUGUAAGAGUCCAAAAUGCGAGCCACUUGAUUCUACCAAAACUAGACUUAGAGAACCACAACGUAUCAAAAAUAGUGAAACCCCUCCUGGAUCAGCUGGAAUUAUGUUUUGAAGUUGAUCUACACGUUUGGCCUGUUGUAAUUUGACGAAAGACCACCUGGAGCUUCCCCUUGUAGUUUUGUGUAGUUUCGAUUACUUUAUGUGCCCACUGCUCGCCGUUUUGCUUAUGUAUUAAUUACAAACUCCUCAAUAAAUAGGGAUCGUCAUGAGUCCACAAAAGGGACAUCAUAAAGAGGAUUGAGAAAUACACAUAUUAAGAAGCCUUCAUCUCUGACGGUGAUCUGAAAGUCUUCAUCAUAUGAAGAAGCUUUUAUCUUUGACAGUGGUCUGAAAGUGUUCCGUAUAUGAAGAGUCUUACUCCGCAUUUAUAUAUAUCAAGAAGCCAUCCCUUCAAGUGGUGAUCAAGAAGUCCUCCAUAUAUCAAGAAGCUUUCUUCUCCGGUGACAUUUAUUUAGGAGAGCUGGAAGACUAACUUGGGAGACUGCGGCUUUUAAGGAGAAAUCUUCACAAUGUUCAAGAAAUUAACUAAGUGAGAAAUGUGGCGAAGGGUCUGGCCCUGCACGCCGUACAGGAAGCGCCUGCACUCACUGGUGCAUGCAAGACAAUUGUUUAAAGAACUAGGGCGACCACCUUAUCCACACGAGCUUUUGAAGAAGACACAUAUCAAGGCGAAUGAUGAGUUGUUCCCGAGAAGUCUCAGAGCACAUGUCGCAAUACGUGAAGAUCACACCUGCAUCUCAAUGUACAGAUGAAUUCAUUGAGGCUCCAACUAUUAUUUUUCACAAAUUUACUAGUAUGAAGUGGGUGGAGUUAAGAGGGCAUGCACUUAUGACCUUGAUUCUCAGGCAGCUUUCUAGGGGAAUGUUGGUGCAUCAUCCACAACUUCUCGGCUUCAAGAUCAUGAUUUUGAUGCUCGGGUGAAGGAAUGAAGAUGAUUUUUAUACCGUUUACGAGAGAUAGAGGAUGAUAUGAAGCAGGACAUUAGAGUAGAGAUGAGACAAGAAAUGAGAGAAGAAAUAAGACACGAAAUGCAGCAACAAGUGCAUGAGCAGGUUGCUAAGAUUCGCCAAGCCCGCCUGUCAAUUCUCACUGCAGGCCUACCUACAUUGCCACUUGUACACCGCUUCAAUUUAGACAUGAUACGCCAUCAAAUAUUGAUACGGGUCAUAGAUUUCUUUAACUCUUAUCUUAGACAGAUUUUACAUUGUUUUAUUUGAAAUUAUGGUUUAUAAAAAAACUGAUACUUUUG
Lycium barbarum (goji berry) is the source of this 1928-nucleotide long non-coding RNA. RefSeq lists it as uncharacterized. The transcript has 4 exons. Lineage: Eukaryota; Viridiplantae; Streptophyta; Magnoliopsida; Solanales; Solanaceae. The record is from RefSeq and is a predicted model, not a curated record.